GGACUCCUGUCGCUCAGAUACUGGGGUGAAGGAGUGAAGGAAGGCAGGAAUGAAUGAACAAAUGAGCAGUUAAUCUGCCUGCUUCCUGCCAACUUAAAAAAAAUACUUUAUUUCUUUUUUUAAUUGAUUUGAGAGAGAGAGUUGUUGUUCCGCUUAUUUUUGCAUUUAUUGAUUGCUUCUUGUAUGUGCCCUGACCCAGGAUGGAUGGGCGCAUCCGGAGGACGCUGUAACCAACUGACCUACCAGGCUCCUGGCAACUCUCCUAGCCUUUCCUUGAGUGCCUUUUGGGUUUUGCUACCUCCCUGCGCACAGUCUCUGUUCCCGAGCACAUCUAGCCUACUUUGUAUGCCUCUUCCCAGCUGUGGGAUGCUCCACUCAGCCUAUGGGUCUCACUUCCCCAGGGACAGAGGCAUGUGAACCUGAUGCUAGCUAGCCUCACGGAGUCCCACAACUGGAGAGGAUGCAAGAGGGGAGAUGCACAACAACACCAAGUUGAGUACAGGGAUACGAAUGCACACAGGAGCAGAAUUUGUAUCACAGAGAGAGUAGAGAUCUUCAGGGAAGGGGGAGGGCAUGCUCAGCAGGGUUUAGAAGAAUGAAUAUGAGUUCACCAGGUAGAUCAGUGUAAAGGCCAUUGUUGGCAAAGGGAAGAACAUGUGCAAAGACAGCAGACAGGCAGAGAGUAAUUGCUGAAGGGAAGAAAGAACCUUUCCAUCCAGCUCAGAGACUGAUGGGGGAGCCCUGGAGUCAGACUACUGAAUCCCAGCUCUGCUAUUGACUUGCCAAACAUCCCUGAGCAAAUCCCUUCUCUCUCUGAGCCUCAAGACCCACGUUUAUAAGAUGGGUAUAAUAAUUCCCUCCUGGGUAAGCCUGAGGUAAAUGGAUGUGUAUUAAAGUUUAUCCAAAUAAAUGGUACGAAUUCAUGGUGUAGGAAAUUCAAUCAACCCCCUUCCUAUUGUCAUGGUGGCCCUUGAAGGCAAAGCAGAGUGACCAAACAGCUUUACCUUUGCCCUCCACACCAUACCUGUUCAAACAGACACCCAUUAUCUGGUUGAAAUUCCAUUUCUAACUUUUCCCUAUAAAAGUUUUAUGACCCCUGGAGGCUAUGUUUAGAGGUGCAGUCAUCAGAAGCUAUUGACCCUGGAUCAGAGACUAGAUUCCCAGGCGAGCUAGUCUAUUUUGGGGUGGCUGAGUCCUGUGAAAUAGGAUUUAACUCCAACAAGGAGGGAACAGCAGAAAAAACAUAAGGGAGGAGCAUCUGAGCCUGGAAGGUUGGGUUGGCGGGGGGAGAGGGAGCAUGAAGAAAUAAAUGCCUGAAAGUGGGUCAUGAAGGUGCAGCUUAAGCCAGAGAGAGCCAGGCUAAGUAGCCCCUGUGCUCGAAGUGCUGGGGGCUGGGAGAGGGAGGAGACGAGCAUAGGGGGAAUUUGAAUUAGAGAAGAAGCUGAAUGGUGAGGGUCACAAAGGCCCUCAAAUGCCAGGCAAACGUCCUGGCAGUCUGGAGUAAAGGCCUGCUGAGUCAACCGCAGCUGAUGCAAGGGGGGCUGGCCGGGGCUGGGAUGCAGGAGUCCCAGACCGCAGGAUAUUUUGCAACUCAAAUCCUCCCAGGCUGCAGACAGGUAUGUUCUGCUCUACCUGGCAGGAUAUGACCGUCACACAAUGCCAGAACUCACAUGGGACCAUCUCAACGACCCUCAAGGUUGACUCAACUGUCUCCUGGUCCUGCUUCUGUUUCUAGAUGAGAAAAGCAGAUUGGUUCCGCUUUGGUUAGAGGUUUGCCCUGGGUCCGAUUGGCUGUGGUCAGACCAAUUGGCAUCACAGAGCACAGACAAAGAGAACAGGGUGGGGCGGAAGAAGGGGUAUGAGUCACAAAGGCAAACAUGUGUAUCUAUUAAAAAUGUUGAAUAGAAAUAUACACACACUGAUAUGAAAAGAAAGGCAAGCCCAGUUGGUGAGGCUCAGUGGUUGAGCAUUGAUCUCUGUCAUCAUUGAUGUUUCUAUCUCUCCCUCUCCCUUCCUCUCU
Long non-coding RNA from Myotis brandtii (Brandt's bat), 2020 nucleotides. RefSeq lists it as uncharacterized. NCBI's taxonomy places the organism in Eukaryota, Metazoa, Chordata, Mammalia, Chiroptera, Vespertilionidae. The record is from RefSeq and is a predicted model, not a curated record. The transcript is spliced from 3 exons.